This 447-nucleotide ribosomal RNA is filed under the name Capnocytophaga gingivalis. RNAcentral's name for it is "bacterial SSU rRNA". It matches the Rfam family "Bacterial small subunit ribosomal RNA", at positions 28 to 477 of the family's 1533-position model. The record is from RNAcentral. Lineage: Bacteria; Pseudomonadati; Bacteroidota; Flavobacteriia; Flavobacteriales; Flavobacteriaceae.
GAUGAACGCUAGCGGCAGGCCUAACACAUGCAAGUCGAGGGAGAAGCCCUUUGGGGGCAGAAACCGGCGCACGGGUGCGUAACGCGUAUGCAACCUACCUUUCACAGGGGGAUAGCCCGAAGAAAUUUGGAUUAAUACCCCAUAAUAUUAUUGGAUGGCAUCAUUUGAUAAUUAAAACUGCGGUGGUGAAAGAUGGGCAUGCGUCCUAUUAGCUAGUUGGAGUGGUAACGGCACCCCAAGGCUACGAUAGGUAGGGGUCCUGAGAGGGAGAUCCCCCACACUGGUACUGAGACAGGGACCAGACUCCUACGGGAGGCAGCAGUGAGGAAUAUUGGUCAAUGGUCGGAAGACUGAACCAGCCAUGCCGCGUGCAGGAAGAAUGCCUUAUGGGUUGUAAACUGCUUUUAUAUGGGAAGAAUAAGGCGUACGAGUACGUUGAUGACGGUA